Amaranthus tricolor (Joseph's coat) is the source of this 1342-nucleotide long non-coding RNA. RefSeq lists it as uncharacterized. The transcript has 4 exons. Lineage: Eukaryota; Viridiplantae; Streptophyta; Magnoliopsida; Caryophyllales; Amaranthaceae. The record is from RefSeq and is a predicted model, not a curated record.
UCUCACCCAAACACGAUAAUUUUGAUUUCACUCUCUAAAACCCUCACCUUAUCCCGCCGCACAACAAAACCGAUCCCAACGCCUUCUCUUCGACGCCCACAGCAAGUUUCCGUCACCCAUAGCCGCCUCCACCAACUGUGUCUCAAACCCACUGGCGCCGCCACCAGCGAUCCGUUUCACCACCAUCUGUUGCCGCUAACAUUUCGAAUUGUAAAGAAUUGAGAUUGUAUCUUGGCCUUUGAUUUAGGUAUUUUCUUCUAGUGUUUUUCCACUAUUGAUCAGGUUCACUUGCCUCCAUUUUCUAGUCUUUGUCCGUACUUACCAAAGGUUUUUAGUUGCAAAAUGCAAAUCCCAUUUUGAGAUUGUUUUCAUAAUUUUAUUUGUUAAUUGCCAUUGAAAUUGAGAAGUUAUUUGGUUGAGUUUUGUGUUUUUAGCAUUUUGGUUAAACUUCUUGUUGAAUAUCAAUAGACCCACCAUUGUUCAUCGCCGCCAGUACGUCCAUUACCGUGGCCAGACUAUUCAUUCUUUAUAAGAGAAAAUCACCCAUCAAAAGUCAAUAAAUUGUACAAAAUCAAGCUCUAAUGUUUCUCCUUUCUCAAUAAAAAAGUUUGUGAGCAUUUCUUCAACUAUUAUUCAUCUCCAAUUUUGGUCCUAUGUUGUCAUUUUUGUCAUAAUCUUCGUCUUCCUGGUGUUGUUAUGCUUUAGCUGCUUUCUAAUGCGCAUACUUUUGGAACUAUUUUCUUGAGGAAAUGGUGAUUAUUGUUUGGAGGAAAUAGAUGAAAUACUUUUUGGAUGAUUGUAGGAUAUUUUAGUAACAGGAUACUCUGUUUAUAUAAGAUUUGAGCAGGACUAUUUGUGCAAGAAUUAUACCCAGACUGCUGGUUGCUGGUUUCUGUUUCUGGUGCUCAGUGCAUCAGCAGCCAGCCUUGAGCUGUUGUGUAUGCUGACUGCCUUCUUCUGAUGGGGUCUUCAAGUGUUUCGUGCUACUGCCUGCUGCUUGCCUUGAGUGUGCACUUGCUGCCUGCAUCAUUAACAACUGUUGUCUGAAGGUGCAGCCCCUGGUUUUGGUGAAUCCAGUAGAGAGUGUUUGUAUGUGCUGUACUCCAGACCCAUAUGCAGGAGGAGUGUUGGUCAUUAGAUUUAAGUUUUGUACCUGUGUAUUUAUUUUGGCAUUAAUGUAAUGGUCUAAUCUAGACCUUAUACUUGGAUAUUUGGGUUUUAUCCCUAACUGUAAAUGAUUUGGUUAAGUUUUAUAUAUAAAAUCGAUCGACAAAUAAUAAUAAUAAUAAUAAUAAUUAUUAUUAUUAUUAUUAUUAUUAUUGAAAAUAAUAAUUAAAAAUAA